GAUGAGCCCGCGUCUGAUUAGCUAGUUGGUGGGGUAAUGGCCCACCAAGGCGACGAUCAGUAGCUGGUCUGAGAGGAUGAUCAGCCACACUGGGACUGAGACACGGCCCAGACUCCUACGGGAGGCAGCAGUGGGGAAUUUUCCGCAAUGGGCGAAAGCCUGACGGAGCAACGCCGCGUGAGGGAUGAAGGCCUCUGGGCUGUAAACCUCUUUUCUCAAGGAAGAAGACAUGACGGUACUUGAGGAAUAAGCCACGGCUAAUUCCGUGCCAGCAGCCGCGGUAAUACGGGAGUGGCAAGCGUUAUCCGGAAUUAUUGGGCGUAAAGCGUCCGCAGGCGGCCUUGUAAGUCUGUCGUUAAAGCGUGGAGCUUAACUCCAUUUAAGCGAUGGAAACUACAAGGCUUGAGUGUGGUAGGGGCAGAGGGAAUUCCCGGUGUAGCGGUGAAAUGCGUAGA
This 455-nucleotide ribosomal RNA is filed under the name uncultured cyanobacterium. RNAcentral describes it as "bacterial SSU rRNA". It matches the Rfam family "Bacterial small subunit ribosomal RNA", at positions 224 to 694 of the family's 1533-position model. Lineage: Bacteria; Bacillati; Cyanobacteriota. The record is from RNAcentral.